Molecule: long non-coding RNA, 3998 nt
Filed under: Sus scrofa (pig)
Lineage: Eukaryota; Metazoa; Chordata; Mammalia; Artiodactyla; Suidae
Description: lncRNA (ENSSSCG00060062639.1)
Source: RNAcentral
CUUCCUCGUCUCUCAUUCCUGAGGGAAAUCACAGGAAUGGAAGCCCAGUUGGGUUUCUUCUGAGAAGGCAGAUAAACCAAGACGUCUAAGACAUGAUUGGCCACUUAAAAAGACACCCAGCAAAAUAGAAGCUGUAUGGAGCUACCUCUUCGGUCACUUUUCUUAAAAACUCCACUUCAAACUUUGAAUAAUACAGUGUGUCUAAAAAUAUGAUGAGCUCGAUUUCAAACUAGACAGAUUCUCUUGGCAGCUUAGCUUCAGGCGGCUCCCUGCUUUUUUUGCUCUUCUGGCGUCGGAGUCUAACCUCACUCAGGGUGCCAGACCCGGGCAUCCUGAAAGCCAUGUCUGGGGCACUUCUGCCCUCCAUGGUCCGUGCCGGGAAGACUGGCUUCCGAGCUGGAUUGGCAGCAGCACCAACCACGCUGACCCAUCCGCCUCAACACUAAAGGCAGUGCGGACACGCAAGAUGGAAAGUGCCUGGUCAAGAGAGGGAUGUGGCAGGUUUAGAAAAUUUAAGGCUGGAGCGCCUUCAGAAGGGGUGGUUGGCUUGUGCGCCGUCUUUCCCUGGGUGUUCAUCCAGCCGUUGCUGAACGGCCACUGUGUGUACAUCGCGCGCCACGAGGAGCAGAAGACAAAUGGAAGAACCACGCCUACGGCUCUACAAGUUUUCACAGACACGCAGGAAAGUCACCUAAUAAGACUGUGCGCAAAACGGGGGCUCAGUGAAGAGCCGUCUAGAGUCGGAGAGGGGAGGACAGGUGCCUUUCCGGGAGGAGCGGGCAUGAGGGAAAACGGCGCAAUUACGGCGGCGGCGAGCUCUAGAGGCAGGGGACGGCGACGCAACCGCAACCCGAGCGAAAAUUCAGAGGCGUGAGGGUAUGUAGCAGGUUCCAGGCUCUCUGACGGAGCCGGAGCGGGAACAAGCGACAGAAGACGGCCCUGGAAAGGAAGGACGGGGCCAGGGUGUGAAGAAUUGUGCAUUUCCUGCCAAGGAGUUUUUUUAAUGCAGUGCACUGGCAGUGGGGCCUUAUCGAAGGUUUUAAGGUGCAGAGUGCUAUUCACCUCAUAACAUAAACAUUUUUUUAAAUUAGAGAUGAUUUUUAAGUAAAAAGUGAAAAUAAAAGAGAAAAAGAUGACAAAAUGAGGCUGUUCUUGCAUCAGCCUUGAACGUCUGUUUUACAGCCAGGAAGCUUUCCAGUCAAUGCGGUGCCACUUGCCGGCAAAGGGGGCAGCGACGGCCACUGGGUAAAGGAACGAAAUCUCAGGGGUCUUUCUGGGGCCCUGAGGCUUGGGAGCAAGCAGCUUAAGGAGCCACAGAAGUCAGGAGACACAGGGAGACGCCGGCCCCAAGAGCUCUCCCUGGCCGCAGAGACGGGGCCGGUGUAAGACAGCAGUCUGGGCCAUCUCGGCACCUCCUCCCGGUCACUGCGGUCCCGCCUCUGGAUCUCCAGACCCACAGAGUUCCCAGGGAUCACCCUCUCCAGCCGCUCCCCAUCCUCCCUGGAAUCUGGACAAGGAGCCACAGUCAGAAAGUCAGUGACCUCCUCAAAUUCAUCAGUCCAGCAGAAUAAGAACCAGGAGCCACGUGAGGCCUUUGCCAAACUCCAGACGUGUCUACAUGAACCUAUGGGGUCUCCUUUCCCCUCUUAACUUCAGCUGACUUCUGGGGUUCAACACCAUGGCAACACUGUCCACACCCCUCUUCCUGUGAAGCCAGACUUCUGUGACCAGGGUCCCCUGCAAAGGAACAGGGAGGGAAGCAAGAGUCUAGGCCAGCUACUAUUCAGCUGCUGAGCUGGAUUGAAAUCACCUCUCUGAUGACUGAAGCAUGGAGGGAGAAGCUGGGUCCCCAAGAGAAUGCAACUGCCAGAGAGAGAGCACAGGACCAAGCCCAGCAGACCUGGGCUGCAGACGGAGGGCGGCCCUGCUGCAGCCACAGCAGACCGCACACGACCUAGGGACGGAAGCAGAUUCUGUCACGAAGGGCAGGGGAAGGCCACUGUACACGAAGGCUGUCCUGUGAGCAGCUGCCUAAGCCACGUCCAGGUCUCAGAAAUGGGGGCACAGGCAGGAAGGGGCGGCCGGUGAAGAUGGGAUCCAUGUAGACAAGAGGAGGAGCAAACCGACUGCACCGGACGACUCCCUUGUCCACCCUGGCCAAGGCCACCGUUCGUCCUGCGGCAGGGAACAACUCUGGGUUCACGCCAAGACCGCUUCCUCAUCCGCCUGAGCUCAGAGCCAGUUCCAUUUGCUGCGGAGGGCGCCCAGGCCACGUGAGGGGACCCAGCCGACCUCCCUGCUCUGGCCUCUCCCGCCUCUUUUACCACUAAAAAUCCUGUUGUCCCCCCACCCCGGCCCCGCCCCAUGAGCUUUCUUCUAAAAUGUGCCACAGGAUUUUCAAGUGUGUUUUCAUUUGUAAUCUGAGUGUUCCUACUGCUAGGAAAGUUAACUUCACUUUUCUUCCAGCAGUUUCUGGAAGGAGGCAUGGUGGCUUCUAUCAGGAAAGCCCAUCCCGUGUGCUCCAUUCUCUCCCAGCCACUCCCCACGCUGCUGCCCACCUCCUCUGGGUCACGACUCUGUUCAGACCGGGGUGGGAGGGACCCAGCCUGUCCCUCUGGAGGGCACGCCCUUCCCGGGGAAGGGGUAGGUGGGGAGAAGCCGGCUCAGGGGAGCACAGGCCAGAUGAGCCCUGCCUUCUCCAUCUUUAUACUCAGGGAUUUUUCUCUCAGGACACACGGAGCAUGUGCCUUCAAUCUGAUUUCCUUUGUGGGGCUCGGUCCAGCAGAACUAUCUGCAUAUACACUAGUUUCAAAUGUCCCUACAGAGUUCCUGCUCUGCCAGGUGCGUCAGGAGAUGUGGCUGGACGUUGUUCUCAGGGGCAGUUAAGAACUGUCAAUGUUCCACGGCAGUUAGGAGGCGAGGUCGCCGGGAGCGCUGCAGCUGACCUCUGGGUCAGAGGUCAUAAGCGCUAAGGCUCCCCAGCUCUACCCUUUCACAUGCACAUAACAAACCACUUGUAAUUUUUCAUUUCCAAGGAUGUGUUCGGUCCUGUUCAGAAUACAACUCCCUCUUCCCACACACACCCCUACGUUAAAGAAUUCUGGGUAUUUGCUAUGCCCACACUUGGACCGGGCAGACCUCAAAAUGGGUUCCCAGAGUGCACAAGCACAAGGGGGCAGCACUCUUGUGCUAAAGGGGCUGAGAUGCUGGCACAGGGCCAGCAGGGAAAGGUCAUGAGCAAAGAGGGAAGUUGCUGGACAGGGAUCAGGAACCCAGGCAAAGCUCACGAAGGCGACAGAGUUCCUUCAUACCUGGAUAUGAGCAAGAAGACCAAGUGAUUUUUUUAUUUUUUUUGCAAGGGCUAUGGAUCUGCAGUUUUCCUUUUGUGCCAUUUUUGUCUAGGUUAACGCUAGCAUCAUAAAAGGAGUGGGGAAGUGCUCCUUUAGCUUCCAGUUUUUGGAGAAGAUUGUGGAAAAGUGGUGUUACAUCUUCACGCACUUGGUUGAAUUCUGCCAUGAAAUCAUCAAGACCUGGAGAUUUCUUUUUUUCGGGUGUUUUUAAUAUUAUGAAUCCAAGUUCUCCAGGCCGGGGAUCAAACUCGUUCCUUAGCAGCGACACUGUUGGAUCCUUGACCUUCUGCACCAUAGCAGGAACUCCUAGUUUUACUUUUUUUUUUUAGGAACUUCCAAACUGUUUUCCGUAGUGGCUGCACCAAUUUUCAGUCCCGCUAAUAGUUCACAGGGUUUUCUUUUCUCCACAUCUUCACCAGCACUGGUUAUUUUUUACCUUUUUGAUGGUGGCUGUUCGAACAGGUGUGAGGUGGUAUCUCAUUGCAUUUCCCUGAUGAUUAGUGGUGCUGAGCAUCUUUUCAUGUGCCUGUCAACCAUGUGUCUUCUUCGGAAAAUGUCUAUUCAGUUCCUCUGCCCAUGUGUUUGUUGGAUUGUUUGUUGUUGUUGCUGUCAUUGAGCUGUGUCAGUUCUUUAUAUAUGAUUGGCAAA